Molecule: long non-coding RNA, 193 nt
Organism: Lepisosteus oculatus (spotted gar)
Lineage: Eukaryota; Metazoa; Chordata; Actinopteri; Semionotiformes; Lepisosteidae
Source: RefSeq, a predicted model, not a curated record
UGCAUUCUGCUCUGUGAACUCCAGACCUCUCGUCCUGUCAGAGGUGAAGAAGUACUCUGCUCUGCUGAAGUCAGACUUCAAAAACAGAAAACUGUUGAUUACAGGUCUAGGUCCUCCCAGUCACGAGGCUGCACCUCUCAAGAAACAGGAUGACUCCCAAGAUGGCCCCUUUGCUCCUCUUCCUUGUGGUCAU